UUCAUAUGUUAUAUGCAUUUGAGAUGUUGAGUUGAGGGACAAACCACACAUAAUGCAAACAAUGACAAGAAACACAUUGAGUUUAGAAAUACAUUUUGGAAUGAUGGUAGUAGCAAGAGAAUAGAGGCAAAAGACAAUCUUUACCAAGAAUCUUCUUCUAGACUAAACUUAUCACUAGUCUAGUUUUCUUAUUAAAAACAAAUACUAGAGAUAUGUUUACAUCAACUUGGAAAUACACUAAGUACAUAGGUGUAGUAGGAUCUCAUCUUAUCUUGAAGUUGGAUUUACAACCCAAAAACAAUGCAUAAGAAGUUUAGAAAUACAUUUUUGGAAAUCUUUAAUAACUUAAGGUAGAUUCCAAUUAUGCUAAAUAUUUCUUAUGAGUUUUUUAAAAACCCUAAAAAUAUCUUAUCACACUCUAAUCAACU
Molecule: long non-coding RNA, 428 nt
Filed under: Physcomitrium patens
Lineage: Eukaryota; Viridiplantae; Streptophyta; Bryopsida; Funariales; Funariaceae
Description: long non-coding RNA (PPAT_LNC010576)
Source: RNAcentral